AAAGUGGAUUAGCGGCGGACGGGUGAGUAACACGUGAGUAACCUGCCUUAGACAUUGGGAUAGCCUCGGGAAACCGGGAUUAAUACCAAAUAAAAUCAUAAUGACACAUGUCAUAACGAUCAAAACUCCGGUGGUCUAAGAUGGACUCGCGUCCCAUUAGCUAGUUGGUAGAGUAAAAGCCUACCAAGGCGACGAUGGGUAGCCGGCCUGAGAGGGUGAACGGCCACAUUGUAACUGAGAAACGGUCCAA
Molecule: ribosomal RNA, 250 nt
Filed under: uncultured Eubacteriales bacterium
Lineage: Bacteria; Bacillati; Bacillota; Clostridia; Eubacteriales
Description: uncultured Clostridiales bacterium partial 16S ribosomal RNA
Rfam family: Bacterial small subunit ribosomal RNA
Source: RNAcentral